This 71-nucleotide transfer RNA is filed under the name Marmota monax (woodchuck). RNAcentral describes it as "tRNA.Gly". It matches the Rfam family "tRNA". From Rfam's summary of the family: Transfer RNA (tRNA) molecules are approximately 80 nucleotides in length. Their secondary structure includes four short double-helical elements and three loops (D, anti-codon, and T loops). Further hydrogen bonds mediate the characteristic L-shaped molecular structure. tRNAs have two regions of fundamental functional importance: the anti-codon, which is responsible for specific mRNA codon recognition, and the 3' end, to which the tRNAs corresponding amino acid is attached (by aminoacyl-tRNA synthetases). tRNAs cope with the degeneracy of the genetic code in two manners: having more than one tRNA (with a specific anti-codon) for a particular amino acid; and 'wobble' base-pairing, i.e. permitting non-standard base-pairing at the 3rd anti-codon position. Lineage: Eukaryota; Metazoa; Chordata; Mammalia; Rodentia; Sciuridae. The record is from RNAcentral.
GGGGUUGUGGCUCAGUGGUAGAGCGCUCACCUACCACGUGUGAGGCACUGGGUUCGAUCCUCAGCACCACA